Long non-coding RNA from Drosophila ananassae, 289 nucleotides. RefSeq lists it as uncharacterized. NCBI's taxonomy places the organism in Eukaryota, Metazoa, Arthropoda, Insecta, Diptera, Drosophilidae. The record is from RefSeq and is a predicted model, not a curated record. The transcript has 3 exons.
GAUUCCAGGUUAUGUGGUGAAGCUGAACCAUUGCUGGCAUUCCUCAGAGAGAAAUUUUCAUUAGAAAUGAUCAAUGGAAGAAAUGAUCCGACGACAAAAGGAGGUACGACUAUUGAUGCGGUAUUUGCGAGAAAUAUAGAUAAAAUAGAUAUAUGAAUCCGUCAGAACCCAGAGAUGAUCAUUGAUUUGGACUUUGCUUUAUAAUAAAUUUAUAAAAUGUGAAUUGAAGAAAGUGUUGGUCACUCCACCUUAUUUUUAUCCUUUCCCUCCCGCUAUUUUUCUUUUAUAC